AAAGUAUUAGUUGAAUUGCUUUGAAUUAUUGAAGCCUCUACUUAUGUUGAAUUUAAUGUCACGCGAACAACCAGAGUUCGAUAUAACUAGCUACUUGAAGUGCAAAUCAGUGUUUGUCAUGACUAGUUAUGGGAGAUAGUUGUGAAAGCGUAACUACUAUUUUUGGUUGGUUGAACAUUUUUAUGCGACAAAAGUGCAUUUGAAGUCAGUGUUGCCUACUUGGAGUGCUUCAAAGACUUUGACUCAUGUGAAGGAUACACAUGGUGUGCUACUGCUCUUGCUUACUUAUAUAUAUAUAUAUAUAUAUAUACUUCUAGAGGCGAAGCUUCCUUGGAACAGGGGGGCCGCGGCCACCCCAAACAAAAAAAAAAUAGUUUUUUAUAGGUAAAAUGACUAAAAUGCCCUUAUUCAAAUUACAAUAUUACAAUAAUACCUAAACCCUAAAUCACAUCUUCUCUCUUCCUCACCCUCUUGCGUGCUACUCUCUCUCUCUCUCUCUCUUACUAGAAGGCUUCUUGAACCAGAGCUAAUUCGAUCUUCCCCUUUGGACAAUGUGUUUGAAUAGCAAGCAAAAGUACCACUUGUGUGGUAAACCGAAGUAGAGAAAGAGGAAGCUCGACCUCACCUCCUUUGGUAAACCGAAGCAAAAGAAGGUCUACCUCACCCCUUUGUUAAACCCAAGCAGAGAAAGAGGAAGAAGCAAAGCUAGGCCAUUCGAUUAGGGAUGCUCUCACUUGUGUGUACUAUCUUCAAGAAGGAAUAUACAUAGAACCUUCUUCUUUUUCGCAUCUCCCAAGUUCAAAUGCUUUUAUGAUGUUAACUUCUGUUGCGCCGCUCUGUUGUCGUCUUGCCCGUCUUGCGCAGCUACUGCCUCGCCUCGCCUGUUCAUCGACAAAAUAAUUGGUUGAUUUUUUUUUUCUAUUAUCAAUAUAAAAGAAAAUAAUAUUUUGAAAGUUGUGUAUAUAGUAAUAAUUAAAAGAUAAUAUAUAGAAAAAAAUAAUUAAAGUUACAUUGAAAAUUAUAACUGACAAU
RNAcentral lists this long non-coding RNA (1032 nucleotides) under Cicer arietinum (chickpea). Its description in RNAcentral is "long non-coding RNA (CARI_LNC001621)". The record is from RNAcentral. Lineage: Eukaryota; Viridiplantae; Streptophyta; Magnoliopsida; Fabales; Fabaceae.